This 495-nucleotide ribosomal RNA is filed under the name uncultured bacterium. Its description in RNAcentral is "partial 16S ribosomal RNA". It matches the Rfam family "Bacterial small subunit ribosomal RNA", at positions 28 to 507 of the family's 1533-position model. The record is from RNAcentral.
GACGAACGCUGGCGGCGUGCCUAAUACAUGCAAGUAGAACGCUGAAGGAGGAGCUUGCUUCUCUGGAUGAGUUGCGAACGGGUGAGUAACGCGUAGGUAACCUGCCUGGUAGCGGGGGAUAACUAUUGGAAACGAUAGCUAAUACCGCAUAAUAGUAGAUGUCGCAUGACAUUUGCUUAAAAGGUGCAAUUGCAUCACUACCAGAUGGACCUGCGUUGUAUUAGCUAGUUGGUGAGGUAACGGCUCACCAAGGCAACGAUACAUAGCCGACCUGAGAGGGUGAUCGGCCACACUGGGACUGCAGCACGGCCCAGACUCCUACGGGAGGCAGCAGUAGGGAAUCUUCGGCAAUGGCCGGAAGUCUGACCGAGCAACGCCGCGUGAGUGCAGAAGGUUUUCGGAUCGUAACGCUCUGUUGUAAGAGAAGAACGAGUGUGAGAGUGGAAAGUUCACACUGUGACGGUAUCUUACCAGAAAGGGACGGCUAACUACGUG